Molecule: non-coding RNA, 28 nt
Filed under: Homo sapiens (human)
Lineage: Eukaryota; Metazoa; Chordata; Mammalia; Primates; Hominidae
Source: RNAcentral
UGCCAUGGAAAUGAUAUUGGAUGUUGGU